Non-coding RNA from Harpegnathos saltator (Jerdon's jumping ant), 90 nucleotides. The record is from Rfam. NCBI's taxonomy places the organism in Eukaryota, Metazoa, Arthropoda, Insecta, Hymenoptera, Formicidae.
AAAGCAAUUCCAUAGACGAGUAUGAAUGUGGUGCACGUUCUUGUUAUGUCAUUUCGUGACUAGAUACAUACUCGUCUACGGUAUCUGUCU